This 267-nucleotide ribosomal RNA is filed under the name uncultured bacterium. RNAcentral describes it as "partial 16S ribosomal RNA". It matches the Rfam family "Bacterial small subunit ribosomal RNA", at positions 335 to 617 of the family's 1533-position model. The record is from RNAcentral.
UAUCCUACGGGGCGCAGCAGUGGGGAAUAUUGGGCAAUGGGCGCAAGCCUGACCCAGCAACGCCGCGUGAAGGAAGAAGGCUUUCGGGUUGUAAACUUCUUUUGACAGGGAAGAGUAGAAGACGGUACCUGUCGAAUAAGCCACGGCUAACUACGUGCCAGGAGCCGCGGUAAUACGUAGGUGGCAAGCGUUGUCCGGAUUUACUGGGCGUAAAGGGCGUGUAGCCGGGAUGACAAGUCAGAUGUGAAAUCAUGCGGCGUAACCGCA